UCCAGACUCCUACGGGAGGCAGCAGUGGGGAAUAUUGCACAAUGGGGGAAACCCUGAUGCAGCGACGCCGCGUGAAGGAAGAAGUAUUUCGGUAUGUAAACUUCUAUCAGCAGGGAAGAAAAUGACGGUACCUAAAGAGGAAGCCACGGCUAACUACGUGCCAGCAGCCGCGGUAAUACGUAGGUGGCAAGCGUUGUCCGGAAUUACUGGGUGUAAAGGGAGCGUAGGCGGGAAUGCAAGUUGAAUGUUUAAACUAUGGGCUCAACCCAUAGUCGCGUUCAAAACUGCAUUUCUUGAGUGGAGUAGAGGCAGGCGGAAUUCCUAGUGUAGCGGUGAAAUGCGUAGAUAUUAGGAGGAACACCAGUGGCGAAGGCGGCCUGCUGGGCUUUUACUGACGCUGAGGCUCGAAAGUGUGGGGAGCAAACAGGAUUAGAUACCCUUGUA
Molecule: ribosomal RNA, 444 nt
Filed under: uncultured bacterium
Lineage: Bacteria
Description: bacterial SSU rRNA
Rfam family: Bacterial small subunit ribosomal RNA
Source: RNAcentral